RNAcentral lists this ribosomal RNA (591 nucleotides) under uncultured bacterium. RNAcentral's name for it is "bacterial SSU rRNA". It matches the Rfam family "Bacterial small subunit ribosomal RNA", at positions 8 to 612 of the family's 1533-position model. The record is from RNAcentral.
ACAGUUUGAUGAUGGCUCAGAGUGAACGCUGGCGGCGUGCCUAACACAUGCAAGUCGAACGAGAACGGAACUAGUUUACUAGUUUGUCAGCUAAGUGGCGCACGGGUGAGUAAUAUAUAGUUAAUCUGCCCCAAAGAAGAGAAUAAUUGUUGGAAACGACUUGUAAUGCUCUAUAUGCCUUUAUCACAUAAGUGAGCAAGGGAAAUAUUUAUAGCUUUGGGGUGAGACUGUACGGUAUCAGCUAGUUGGUGAGGUAAUGGCUCACCAAGGCUAUGACAUCUAACUGGUUUGAGAGGAUGAUCAGUCACACUGGAACUGAGACACGGUCCAGACUCCUACGGGAGGCAGCAGUGGGGAAUAUUGCACAAUGGACGAAAGUCUGAUGCAGCAACGCCGCGUGGAGGAUGACACAUUUCGGUGCGUAAACUCCUUUUAUAUGAGAAGAUAAUGACGGUAUCAUAUGAAUAAGCACCGGCUAACUCCGUGCCAGCAGCCGCGGUAAUACGGGGGGUGCAAGCGUUACUCGGAAUCACUGGGCGUAAAGAGAAUGUAGGCUGGUUAUUAAGUUGGAAGUGAAAUCCUAUGGCUCAA